RNAcentral lists this ribosomal RNA (544 nucleotides) under fungal sp. RNAcentral describes it as "eukaryotic LSU rRNA". The stretch from base 186 to 339 matches the Rfam family "5.8S ribosomal RNA". The record is from RNAcentral. Lineage: Eukaryota; Fungi.
GACCUGCGGAGGGAUCAUUACACAAAUAUGAAGGCGGGCUGGAACCUCUCGGGGUUACAGCCUUGCUGAAUUAUUCACCCUUGUCUUUUGCGUACUUCUUGUUUCCUUGGUGGGUUCGCCCACCACUAGGACAAACAUAAACCUUUUGUAAUUGCAAUCAGCGUCAGUAACAAAUUAAUAAUUACAACUUUCAACAACGGAUCUCUUGGUUCUGGCAUCGAUGAAGAACGCAGCGAAAUGCGAUAAGUAGUGUGAAUUGCAGAAUUCAGUGAAUCAUCGAAUCUUUGAACGCACAUUGCGCCCUUUGGUAUUCCAAAGGGCAUGCCUGUUCGAGCGUCAUUUGUACCCUCAAGCUUUGCUUGGUGUUGGGCGUCUUGUCUCUAGCUUUGCUGGAGACUCGCCUUAAAGUAAUUGGCAGCCGGCCUACUGGUUUCGGAGCGCAGCACAAGUCGCACUCUCUAUCAGCAAAGGUCUAGCAUCCAUUAAGCCUUUUUUUCAACUUUUGACCUCGGAUCAGGUAGGGAUACCCGCUGAACUUAAGCAU